GCAAUCGCGGCCGAGUGGUUAAGGCGAUGGACUCGAAAUCCAUUGGGGUCUCCCCGCACAGGUUCGAAUCCUGUCGACUGCG
Molecule: non-coding RNA, 82 nt
Organism: Ixodes scapularis (black-legged tick)
Lineage: Eukaryota; Metazoa; Arthropoda; Arachnida; Ixodida; Ixodidae
Source: Rfam